Molecule: transfer RNA, 84 nt
Filed under: Streptomyces hydrogenans
Lineage: Bacteria; Bacillati; Actinomycetota; Actinomycetes; Kitasatosporales; Streptomycetaceae
Description: tRNA-Leu
Source: RNAcentral
GUGCACCGGGGCGGCAGGGAGGGCACGGCGACCUUCAAGUGGUCGCGGGAGAACGGCUCCGUGGUCCUGCCCGUGCGGGGCGUG